UGCCACAAAAGUGGGUUAGGUUAGGUUAGAACUGCGACCAUUGUAAAAACGAACUGCUGUCAAAAAUGGGUUAGGUUAGGUUAGAACUGCGAUCCUCGCCAAAACGAACUGUAGCCACAAAAGUGGGUUAGGUAAGGUUAGAACUGUGACCCUCGCAAAAACGAACUGCUGCCACAAAAGUGGGUUAGGUUAGGUUAGAACUGCGACCAUUGUAAAAA
Cydia splendana is the source of this 218-nucleotide long non-coding RNA. RefSeq lists it as uncharacterized. Lineage: Eukaryota; Metazoa; Arthropoda; Insecta; Lepidoptera; Tortricidae. The transcript is spliced from 2 exons. The record is from RefSeq and is a predicted model, not a curated record.